Molecule: ribosomal RNA, 330 nt
Filed under: uncultured eukaryote
Lineage: Eukaryota
Description: partial 18S ribosomal RNA
Rfam family: Eukaryotic small subunit ribosomal RNA
Source: RNAcentral
CCCUUAGAUGUUCUGGGCCGCACGCGUGCUACACUGAUGCAUUCAACGAGUCUAAAACCUGGUCUGAUAGGGCUGGGUAAUCUUUUGAAAGUGCAUCGUGAUUGGGAUAGAUGAUUGCAAUUCUUCAUCUUCAACGAGGAAUGCCUAGUAAACGCAAGUCAUCAGCUUGCAUUGAUUACGUCCCUGCCCUUUGUACACACCGCCCGUCGCUCCUACCGAUUGAAUGAUCCGAUGAAUAUCAUGGAUUGAGAGUACGAAUGGGUUCGCUCAUUUCUGCUGCUCGAGAAGUGAAGUAAAGCUUAUCAUUUAGAGGAAGGAGAAGUCGUAACA